RNAcentral lists this ribosomal RNA (443 nucleotides) under uncultured bacterium. Its description in RNAcentral is "partial 16S ribosomal RNA". It matches the Rfam family "Bacterial small subunit ribosomal RNA", at positions 338 to 795 of the family's 1533-position model. The record is from RNAcentral.
CCUACGGGUGGCUGCAGUGGGGAAUAUUGCGCAAAGGGCGCAAGCCUGACCCAGCAACGCCGCGUGAAGGAAGAAGGCUUUCGGGUUGUAAACUUCUUUUCUCAGGGACGAAGCAAGUGACGGUACCUGAGGAAUCAGCCACGGCUAACUACGGGACAGCCGCAGCGGUAAUACGUAGGUGGCAAGCGUUAUCCGGAUUUACUGGUGUUAAAGGGCGUGUAGGCGGGACUGCAAGUACGCUGUGAAAACCACGGGCUCAACCUGUGGCCUGCAUUUGAAAAUGUAGUUCUUGAGUACUGGAGAGGCAGGCGGAAUUCCUAGUGUAGCGGUGAAAUGCGUAGAUAUUAGGAGGAACACCAGUGGCGAAGGCGGUCUGCUGGACAGCAACUGACGCUGAGGCGCGAAAGCGUGGGGAGCAAACAGGAUUAGAUACCCGAGUAGUC